RNAcentral lists this ribosomal RNA (468 nucleotides) under uncultured bacterium. RNAcentral describes it as "partial 16S ribosomal RNA". It matches the Rfam family "Bacterial small subunit ribosomal RNA", at positions 28 to 507 of the family's 1533-position model. The record is from RNAcentral.
GACGAACGCUGGCGGCGUGCUUAACACAUGCAAGUCGAACGGAAAGGCCCUGCUUUUGUGGGGUGCUCGAGUGGCGAACGGGUGAGUAACACGUGAGUAAUCUGCCCUUGACUUUGGGAUAACUUCAGGAAACUGGGGCUAAUACCGGAUAGGAGCUCCUGCUGCAUGGUGGGGGUUGGAAAGUUUCGGCGGUUGGGGAUGGACUCGCGGCUUAUCAGCUUGUUGGUGGGGUAGUGGCUUACCAAGGCUUUGACGGGUAGCCGGCCUGAGAGGGUGACCGGCCACAUUGGGGCUGAGAUACGGCCCAGACUCCUACGGGAGGCAGCAGUGGGGAAUAUUGCACAAUGGGCGGAAGCCUGAUGCAGCAACGCCGCGUGCGGGAUGACGGCCUUCGGGUUGUAAACCGCUUUCGCCUGUGACGAAGCGUGAGUGACGGUAAUGGGUAAAGAAGCACCGGCUAACUACGUG